GCAUCGGUGGUUCAGUGUGAAUUCUCGCCUGCCACGCGGGAGGCCCGGGUUCGAUUCCCGGCCGAUGCA
RNAcentral lists this transfer RNA (69 nucleotides) under Homarus americanus (American lobster). RNAcentral's name for it is "tRNA-Gly". It matches the Rfam family "tRNA". From Rfam's summary of the family: Transfer RNA (tRNA) molecules are approximately 80 nucleotides in length. Their secondary structure includes four short double-helical elements and three loops (D, anti-codon, and T loops). Further hydrogen bonds mediate the characteristic L-shaped molecular structure. tRNAs have two regions of fundamental functional importance: the anti-codon, which is responsible for specific mRNA codon recognition, and the 3' end, to which the tRNAs corresponding amino acid is attached (by aminoacyl-tRNA synthetases). tRNAs cope with the degeneracy of the genetic code in two manners: having more than one tRNA (with a specific anti-codon) for a particular amino acid; and 'wobble' base-pairing, i.e. permitting non-standard base-pairing at the 3rd anti-codon position. Lineage: Eukaryota; Metazoa; Arthropoda; Malacostraca; Decapoda; Nephropidae. The record is from Rfam by way of RNAcentral.